GUCGAGCGGCAGCACGGACUUCGGUCUGGUGGCGAGCGGCGCACGGGUGCGUAACGCGUAUGCAACCUGCCUUAUGCAGGGGGAUAGCCCAUGGAAACGUGGAUUAAUACCCCAUAAUAUUAUUGAUUCGCAUGGAUUAAUAAUUAAAAUUUCGGUGGCAUAAGAUGGGCAUGCGUCUGAUUAGCUAGUUGGUGAGGUAACGGCUCACCAAGGCGACGAUCAGUAGGGGUUCUGAGAGGAUUACCCCCCACACUGGUACUGAGACACGGACCAGACUCCUACGGGAGGCAGCAGUGAGGAAUAUUGGUCAAUGGGCGAGAGCCUGAACCAGCCAUCCCGCGUGCAGGAUGACGGCCCUAUGGGUUGUAAACUGCUUUUCUACGCCAAGAAACGUUCCGACGUGUCGGAAACUGACGGUAGCGUAGGAAUAAGCAUCGGCUAACUCCGUGCCAGCAGCCGCGGUAAUACGGAGGAUGCAAGCGUUAUCCGGAUUCAUUGGGUUUAAAGGGUGCGCAGGCGGGUUUGUAAGUCAGUGGUGAAAUAUUGUCGCUUAACGAUAAGGUUGCCAUUGAUACUGCAGGUCUUGAGUUUGGUUGAGGUAGGCGGAAUGUGCAGUGUAGCGGUGAAAUGCAUAGAGAUUGCACAGAACACCGAUUGCGAAGGCAGCUUACUAAGCCAAAACUGACGCUGAGGCACGAAAGCGUGGGGAGCGAACAGGAUUAGAUACCCUGGUAGUCCACGCCGUAAACGAUGUUCACUCGCUGUUUGCGAUAUACAGCAAGCGGCUUAGCGAAAGCAUUAAGUGAACCACC
Molecule: ribosomal RNA, 812 nt
Filed under: Mariniphaga sediminis
Lineage: Bacteria; Pseudomonadati; Bacteroidota; Bacteroidia; Marinilabiliales; Prolixibacteraceae
Description: bacterial SSU rRNA
Rfam family: Bacterial small subunit ribosomal RNA
Source: RNAcentral